CCAUCGGUGAUUCAGUGAUAGAAUGCUCGCUAGCCACGCGGGCGGCCCGGGUUCGAUUCCCGGCCUAUGCU
Molecule: transfer RNA, 71 nt
Filed under: Cordylochernes scorpioides
Lineage: Eukaryota; Metazoa; Arthropoda; Arachnida; Pseudoscorpiones; Chernetidae
Description: tRNA-Gly
Rfam family: tRNA
About the family: Transfer RNA (tRNA) molecules are approximately 80 nucleotides in length. Their secondary structure includes four short double-helical elements and three loops (D, anti-codon, and T loops). Further hydrogen bonds mediate the characteristic L-shaped molecular structure. tRNAs have two regions of fundamental functional importance: the anti-codon, which is responsible for specific mRNA codon recognition, and the 3' end, to which the tRNAs corresponding amino acid is attached (by aminoacyl-tRNA synthetases). tRNAs cope with the degeneracy of the genetic code in two manners: having more than one tRNA (with a specific anti-codon) for a particular amino acid; and 'wobble' base-pairing, i.e. permitting non-standard base-pairing at the 3rd anti-codon position.
Source: RNAcentral